CUCAGAUGUUUCUUUCUCUACAGUUGUUUUCUCUUUCGAGGUUACAGCAGUCAGAAUUAAAAGCUGUAGCCUUGACUCCAAGGCAGAGUUCUUCCUCCCGGGGUCUGCGGUCCAUUCCAUGCGUGCUGGAUGAUUGCAUUUAAGUUUUCUGAAAGAAAAUGCGCAAGUCCUCUGAGUGAUGUCUAUCACGGAAGUUGUAAAACUGUGCCGAGUGUGACCACAGCUUGUGCGUAGAAAUGGACUGAAGAAAACAUCCUAAAACGUUCACAGCGAGUUGUCCCACUGAGUGAUUCCUUUUUUCUACGUCUAUAUUUCUACUUUUCUUGAUUGGUGGAGUCACCUGAUCUUGUGUCUGUUCAAGCCUCGGUCAACAACCUGGGAGGCCUCUUCCGUCACCAAGUCACCGUGAACUCAUGCGGCCCUCCUGCCUCUUCCUCUAAGCUCCUUCACCAGGAGAACUGAUGGUCACAUCUACCUUGUUGGACUGUCAUGAAGUACAAAUGGGAUGGUGAUGAUAAACGUUCUUGAAGAACCACAGAGCAUCGUGAAAGAGAAGAAAACAACAUCACCAUCUACUCAGGAGCUCAAGCUCAAAGCCAGGUAGUUCUGCUGGCCCCACCCCUUUUGUGGUCGACCCUGCCGGUUGGUCUUUCCUCUUCAUUCUUGCCGGGGUCUAGUCAACAGGUACCGCCUCAGAGGAGCUCCCUGACCCCUCCGUCUGGAUCAGCCUCCAAACCUACCCCUGCCUUUCUCUAGCACACGUUGCCCUCCUUUGUAUUUUUUAGUAACAGUUCCAACUGAAAUUAUCUUAUUUGUUCUGGCAAAUGUAUCUGGUAUCGCUCUCCCCACCAGCGUGGCAGGGACCUGGUCUUUCUCUGUCCUGUCUCCAUGCUGACAUCAGUUCAGGGCUUCCGGUAGAAGAGUCACCAAUAACUAUUGACCCAGUGAAAACGUUCCUGAACUAAACUCGUGCUUCCUGAAAUAUUCUCUUCUACCUUUUUGUCAUGGUGCCUGCUGUUUCCUCUGCCCAAAGGGCACCAUAUCCACUUGUUCCCUUGGCAGGCUCCUAUUCAUCCUUUAAGAUUGCACCUGCUCUAUAAAAAACUUCCCGAUGCCCCUGGACUGAGCUCAUCCUUGUUCUCUUGAAGCUACAGCCCCUUUCGCUCACCAAAUGCCGUUGUUUUCAUACUGGAUUUCCCUGCUGGGCUGUGAGCUUCCCCAGGGCAAGGCUGUGGGCGCUCAUGCUUUCUGUCUCCUCAACUCCUCACAUGUAAUUCAUCCAUACAGUUAUUCAGUAAAUGUUUGUUGAUUGAGUAAACAAAUGUAAGAAAGCAGAUGAUCAAGAAAGAUGAUUAUUUGUGAUGAUGUUCUCUGAUUUCAACUAUAAGCAAACAAAAUUCUAGAUUUAAGGAAAGGGAAAGAUAAGUCUGUGUGGAUGCCAUAUAG
Molecule: long non-coding RNA, 1446 nt
Filed under: Equus asinus (donkey)
Lineage: Eukaryota; Metazoa; Chordata; Mammalia; Perissodactyla; Equidae
Description: lncRNA (ENSEASG00005038273.1)
Source: RNAcentral